Molecule: ribosomal RNA, 253 nt
Filed under: uncultured bacterium
Lineage: Bacteria
Description: partial 16S ribosomal RNA
Rfam family: Bacterial small subunit ribosomal RNA
Source: RNAcentral
GACAGAGGGUGCAAACGUUGUUCGGAUUUACUGGGCGUAAAGCGCGUGUAGGCGGCUUGGCAAGUCGGAUGUGAAAGCCCUCAGCUCAACUGAGGAAGUGCGCCCGAAACUGCUGUGCUUGAGUGCCGGAGAGGGUGGCGGAAUUCCCCAAGUAGAGGUGAAAUUCGUAGAUAUGGGGAGGAACACCGGUGGCGAAGGCGGCCACCUGGACGGUAACUGACGCUGAGACGCGAAAGCGUGGGGAGCAAACAGG